This 119-nucleotide ribosomal RNA is filed under the name Pteropus alecto (black flying fox). Lineage: Eukaryota; Metazoa; Chordata; Mammalia; Chiroptera; Pteropodidae. The record is from RNAcentral.
UGCAACGGCCAUGCCACCCUGAACAUGCCCGAUCUCGUCUGAUCUCAGAAGCUAAGCAGGGUCGGAUCUGGUUAGUACUUGGAUGGGAGACCACCUAGGAAGACCAGGUGCUGUAGGCA